CUUCGGUACAGGUGGGAAAACAAGACGGAUUGUAUGUCCUUCAGUGUUCAUGUAGGCUGGGAAGUGGGAGGAGAAAAACAAAACAAAGCUGAAAAUGAGUGUUGAAUGGGCUUUCCCAGGAUUCCCAGAAAUAUAUGGUUAGCUCUGUGUGAACUGUAGCAAAGUUCUCCAGGAAACAGGCUCACUGGGACAGAGCAACAGUGUCAUCCCUGCAGACUGUGAAGAAGCAGGUGACAUCAAGUGGGGACACAGCCUCUUUUCAAGACAACAUAAAAAUAAGCCAUGAAGAAGCAUUUAUGAAGUUCCUACAUUACAGAAGUUCAGAUGACUGCUAAAAGAAGGUGGUACUGUUUGUACAAAUAUUCAAAAUUUUAAUAGUCAAAACUACAGAGUAGGAAGGGAGAGGUAGACUGUGCAGAAGACAGCAUAAAACUGGGGUUUAGUUCCUGAGAGAGGCUGUGAAAUACAAAUCAUUAAAACUUUGUAAAGGGACAGUAUAGCUUUUUAAAGGAAAACUUCAUAGUAACACAGUCACAAUUAAAAUAAAAUGUAAAUUUCAUGUUUAUGUGCCUCAGAGAAAGAUACUGAGACAGAAGUUAA
Hirundo rustica (Barn swallow) is the source of this 600-nucleotide long non-coding RNA. RefSeq lists it as uncharacterized. The transcript is spliced from 5 exons. Lineage: Eukaryota; Metazoa; Chordata; Aves; Passeriformes; Hirundinidae. The record is from RefSeq and is a predicted model, not a curated record.